This 419-nucleotide ribosomal RNA is filed under the name uncultured Glomus. RNAcentral's name for it is "SSU rRNA". It matches the Rfam family "Eukaryotic small subunit ribosomal RNA", at positions 569 to 997 of the family's 1831-position model. Lineage: Eukaryota; Fungi; Glomeromycota; Glomeromycetes; Glomerales; Glomeraceae. The record is from RNAcentral.
AGCAGCCGCGGUAAUUCCAGCUCCAAUAGCGUAUAUUAAAGUUGCUGCAGUUAAAAAGCUCGUAGUUGAAUUUCGGGACUAUUAUGUCGGUCGUGCCUCGGUACGUACUGGUAUUUUUGGUUUCUCCCUUCUGACGAACCUUGAUGUCAUUAAUUUGGUGUCUUGGGAAAUCAGGACUGUUACUUUGAAAAAAUUGAGUGUUUAAAGCAGGCUCACGCUUGAAUACAUUAGCAUGGAAUAAUGAAAUAGGACGUUUGAUUCUAUUUUGUUGGUUCCUAGGAUUGACGUAAUGAUUAAUAGGGAUAGUUGGGGCAUUAGUAUUCAAUUGUCAGAGUGAAAUUCUUGGAUUAUUGAAGACUAACUACUGCGAAAGCAUUUGCCAAGGAUGUUUCAUUAAUCUAAGAACGAAAGUUAGGGAU